GGCACUCAGUCGUUUGAUGGUUCCCGAUGGUGCGCCCGAGGGAUGAAAAGGGAAUACGGUGAGGAUUGCCAACUGGCGCCAAAUCCGUAACUGCCCCCGCAACUGUAAGCGGUGAGCGAGGUCAAACAGCCACUGAUCCUAAGGAUCGGGAAGGUUGGCCAAGCUUAGACCCGCAAGUCAGGAGACCUGCCAUCAGAUGUUCAACCAA
Molecule: non-coding RNA, 208 nt
Filed under: Ruegeria sp. ANG-R
Lineage: Bacteria; Pseudomonadati; Pseudomonadota; Alphaproteobacteria; Rhodobacterales; Roseobacteraceae
Also listed under: 1 other name
Source: RNAcentral